AAUAGAUACCCCGGUAGUCCACGCCGUAAACGUUGGAUACUAGGUGUGGCGGUUAUACCAAUGACUGCCGUGCCGAAGCUAACGCAUUAAGUAUCCCGCCUGGGGAGUACGGCCGCAAGGCUAAAACUCAAAGGGAUUGACGGGUCCCCGCACAAGCGGCGGAGCAUGCGGCUUAAUUCGAUGCAACCCGAAGAACCUUACCUGGGUUUGACAUCACGGGAAAAGCUGUAGAAAUACAGUGUCCAUUAGGGCCCGUGACAGGUGGUGCAUGGCUGUCGUCAGCUCGUGUCGUGAGAUGUUGGGUUAAGUCCCGCAACGAGCGCAACCCUUGUCCUAUGUUGCCAACGGUUCGGCCGGGGACUCAUAGGAGACUGCCGGGGAUAACUCGGAGGAAGGUGAGGACGACGUCAAGUCAUCAUGCCCCUUAUAUCCAGGGCUGCACGCAUGCUACAAUGGCCGGUACAACGGGCAGCGACCCCGCGAGGGUGAGCGAAUCCUAAAAAGCCGGUCCUAGUUCGGAUUGAGGUCUGCAACUCGACUUC
Molecule: ribosomal RNA, 542 nt
Filed under: uncultured bacterium
Lineage: Bacteria
Description: bacterial SSU rRNA
Rfam family: Bacterial small subunit ribosomal RNA
Source: RNAcentral